Molecule: transfer RNA, 69 nt
Filed under: Peregriana peregra
Lineage: Eukaryota; Metazoa; Mollusca; Gastropoda; Lymnaeidae
Description: tRNA-Thr
Rfam family: tRNA
About the family: Transfer RNA (tRNA) molecules are approximately 80 nucleotides in length. Their secondary structure includes four short double-helical elements and three loops (D, anti-codon, and T loops).
Source: RNAcentral
UAUCGGGUAGCUUAUUUAUUUAAAGCGUUGAUUUUGUAAUUCAAAGAUUGGAAUAUUCUCCCUCGAUUG